UUAGCAGGUGAUUAGGUAUGGCUA
This 24-nucleotide non-coding RNA is filed under the name Mus musculus (house mouse). The record is from RNAcentral. Lineage: Eukaryota; Metazoa; Chordata; Mammalia; Rodentia; Muridae.